RNAcentral lists this long non-coding RNA (2362 nucleotides) under Bemisia tabaci. Its description in RNAcentral is "lncRNA ENSSSA3NGG007762". Lineage: Eukaryota; Metazoa; Arthropoda; Insecta; Hemiptera; Aleyrodidae. The record is from RNAcentral.
GAGAAAAUCGGCAGUCUUGGUUGUUUGUUAAAGAAUGCUUCUAUUCCAUGGAGUCCUAUUGUAAUAGAGUUAGCCAAUGAUUGCCUUAAAUCGUACCAGAAGAAGGCAGACAUAAUUCAAGAUUGCUACAAAAUGAUUCCACUAAAACAUAUUUUCAAAAAAUAUUCCAUCAAAAGUAUUCUGACCUCACCAAGAGAGCUGAGAAAAUGUGUCAAAUACAUUUUCAAAGAAGGUUUAGAUUCCAGAUUAGAAGAUGCCUUGCAGUUGGUUGAGGGACAAGAAGAUAGCCUAAAGAUGUUACCAUAUUAUCUUUACAUAGACAGUUUAAUUCAAUCAAAAAAAUAUGAAGAAGUAGCAGAAUUUUUGUUUGAAAAGCAGUUGAUGAAACUGUGUUAGACCAAUGUUGUCGAUACAUUAUUCUAAGAUUCUCAACCCAUUUGGACUCCGGUGCUCAUGAAAUUAUAGACGCUGUCAUCAAAAUACUCCAAAAUUCGAAAGAAAAAUUAGAAAAGACAAAUGCAGCCGCAGGCAUGAAUGGUUUCAACAAUUACAUAGAGAAAGCCCUGGUUUGCAAAAGUAUUAGUACAAUGAAGAGUGACUAUAAUUUUGAAGUUGAACUAAGUAGAUUACACGAAGACAGUUUGCGCAAAUUAGUCAUUCAGGAUUUUUAUAAAUCUAAUUUCAAAGAUCUGAAUAAAACUGAGGAGUUUGUGAAUGUUUGCAAAGGUUGCAUUCCCAAAAUUGUCAGUCUCGUAAACUUACCUCCUGAGGAUGUCAUAUUGUAUCUAGCAGAAUAUGCUUUAUGCCUCAAUGACUUCAGUUCAGCCGCCAUGAUCAUGAGUUUAUUGAGGAAGGAUGUUGAAGAAUUAUCUGCACAAAGCUCUACUGUAGCUGUAAAAUUAUUAUCUUAUCUGAUGGAACACCAGUCUUGUCAUUUUGAUUCUAGUCUCACCUCUGUCAACUUAAUUGUGAAGUCCUUAGCAACCCGGAGCAUUGCUAGCUGCAACAUCUGUAAGUAUUCUGCCUUCCUUUCAUAUUAUGUAUAUAUUGACUCUUAAAAUUAUAAUUAGCAGUUAUCAGGUCACGUUUAUCAUAAACAGAAAACAUGGCUAAAAAUGACAAAUAAAAAACCAAAACGUUUCAACUGACUACUCAGCACUCAGCCACUCCACUCUCUAUCAAAAUGAAAAACAAACCAAAGUAAAUAGAAAUAGCGAUAGGGAGACCAAUUGCAGCUCCUGCUAGGUUGUCGAUUGAUGCAAUGACUUUAGGGUUAUGGUUAUUCCCACUCAGUAAGAAUUUUUCAUUGAAAAUUGAGCAACUGGAUCUAAGUUCUGCACCUUUGUGGAAAGUACAUACUGGAUAUCAGUUGAGCAUUAUGAAAGUAUAUAACCCCCACACGGUGGGUUUUAAACACUUUUAAAGUCCACGCUGUCAUAUGUCGUGUGGCCUUAUUUUUGCAACAAAACUAAGAAAGGUAUAGGUUUUCUCAGCGAACAAUCAAAUGAGUCUGUGAACUAUGAUUUUUUACAAACUUGGUCAAGAUAUAAGGUUCCGAAGACCCAUCCAAAUUACUCUUCCCGGCAACAUUUGUUCCUUGUUUUAAUCUAUUUUUUUCUGAUGAGAUGAUCUAUUUUUACCUUAUCAUUAUUUUUGUUAUACUUAUUUUAUUUUUUUUUACUAAGAAGAUGAUUUAGUAAUCGAGGAUGACGGAUGUGUACUUUUUGUUAAAUUCAUCUGUUUCAAAUAAAAUGUUUCUUUUUCCUGUAAAACCAAUCAAAACUUGUCAUUAAUUUCUAUAUUUUAGAAACUUUCAUGCUGUGACUUUGAUAAUUAUAAAAAUUUGGAUCUUUACAAGUAUAUGCCAAGUAUUUAAAAGUAUUUUUGAGUAAAAUCCGUCCUCUUAUUCUCAGCACUACCGAGAAACCGCCCGGCAAGACGUCAAUCCAUACGGUUGUGGAUGGGAAGGAUGGAAUCGGGGGGGGGGGGGGCGUAGAGGAGUAGGUGCCUUUUAAUGUUUAAAUUACAUUGAGAUGUGUUAAGUACAUUUUCAGGCUCUACCCCCAGUUCAUUUCAAAUGUUUUAGCAAUUCAGCCCAGAGUGUCCUAAAAAACGCGAGAGGACCCCCAAAAAACCCGAAAAACAUGUAUAGGAGUUGCAUUUAUAGGUCACUAAAACAAUCUAACUUGACUUUUUGAGCGCCUUGACCCGAAAUACCCGCCAAAAAAGCGGAAAAUUCUCAUUUUCUCAUAUUCGGCCAAACUACAUAUUUCGCGGUUUGUUGUUCCUCAACCAGUAGGCCUUCUAGUUGACAUUCCCGCCAAAAAAUCGCGGGUGGGAUGUUGACCGCAUUAGAAGUGUU